Molecule: long non-coding RNA, 5084 nt
Organism: Gallus gallus (chicken)
Lineage: Eukaryota; Metazoa; Chordata; Aves; Galliformes; Phasianidae
Exons: 2
Source: RefSeq, a predicted model, not a curated record
GCCGCGGGCCGCGAGGGAGGGGCGGCGUAGCGGCCGCGGUGGGGCGAGAGGCCGGGAUAGGGCCGUGCCUCAGCGGCGGGGGCUGAACGCCCUCGGGUAGAACGGUGAGGGCUGGCAUCGAUGCCCCGAGUACUGCUCACCCAUGCGGGUGUUUUUAAACCACCGUGCUCUUCUAGGCCGCAGUCAUCAGCCCGAGGCAUUCACCUCUUGUAACUUUCACUUUCCUGUUGUUAUGGUUGCUUUUGCUGUGUCAACUUCUUCCUCUGGCCAGUGUAACACUGCCUCACCCUAAGGUCACAUCAUCUCAUUCUCGUGUAUUUGCCGUGAGCAGGGCUGCCACCCACCAGCUCAGGCUGCCCAGGGCCCAUCCAACCUGGCCUUGAUCACCUCCAGGGAUGGGGCACCACAGCUUCUCUGGGCAGCUGUGCCAGGGCCUCACCGCCCUCUGAGUGAAAAAUCUCCCCCAAAAUCUAAUUUGACAAGCUUAAAAAACGUUUCAAAGCAAAAAUCACAAAAGGAGGGAUUCACAGUGAGACUGCAUCAGAGUUAGUAGACAAGCCGGUAUCUAAAGGAUAAAAAAAUUAAACCUAAUAGUAAAAAUUCAAAGGCUUUCCUUUUACAAAAUGUUUUUCCAAAGUAGUGAAAAGAUUGGAAACCACACAGCUCCCUCUGAAGAGGCAGCUGUAAUGUUCCAAUAUACCUCAAGGGAAGGAUGAGAAGAACUUCUCGUAAAUCUUGUUUAUUUAGCACAAUUUCACUCACAGUGUCUAAAAGUGUUAAACUAAUCUAAAUGCUGCACAGGGGUUACAGAAAAUAAUAGCAUAUGCCUCCAAUGGACGUUAAGUGAUCUACUCCAGCCCAGUUUUACUGUAGCUGCAUGAACCUUGGAGCUGUAGGCUGCAGCUUCCUUACUUUGGGCAAGAUAAGAAAGAACGGUUUUUUGUUUUGUUUUUUUUUUUUUUUUCCAGAAGAAGAAACUGGCAUUUGCUGAUAAGAAUUAUUCUUUUUCUAACUCUUGAAUUUGUAUGUAGGGUCAGGUAAAAAUGAAUUACGUAUAAUGAACAAGGGCAGCUACAAGCGAAUAUCAGAGGGACCAGAGAAAACAGCAUGUAUAUCUGCUCCAAGCUUUUUGCAUUGGUGGAGAGCCACUAACACACAGAGCAGAAAUAGUACAUGAAGGCUCGUGACUUGUUCUAUGUUCUCAUUAGCUUCAGCUGUUUAGUAAAUAGACUGUUCUUAGCCUGGCAAGUGGAUUUUUUUUUUUUUUUUUUGCACUCAUUUAUCUUGAGCCAAGUAGUAGAUAGCAAUCUAUCUUGAAGACAGUCAGUUCUAGAUGCACUGCAGAAAGACAGAGGGAAUUCCUUUCUUCUUGGCAGUAGGUUUUAUGAAAGUGCAUAGACUGAACACGUCUGACUAUGUGCCAUGCUGGCAUAGAUAAAGGAUAGAAUGGCUGAAGUUUCUCCAAGCAUUACCUGCAGUCAUAUUUGAAAUUAUUUUGUCCAAGUUGCUUUUCAUUUAAUUCUCAUCAUAUACUGUGAUACCUGUAUGACUGUGGACGUACAUCAGCACGUCUUUGGCUUAUUGUUUAUAGUUGAUUUAUCCAGAAUCUGCAUGUAUGUUUUGUGGAGGCAUUCUUAGCCAUGUAGGACUGUGUGACGGUGCUCUUAAGAAACAACAAGGAGCUGCCUCCAUGGAAUUCAGAUGUAAAGUAAGACAGUUCAUUAUGUUUCAAGUGAUUUUUGCUAAAACAUAGAAUUAAAUGUAAGCAUGAGUUGAAUUUAAGCACCGUAACAUUCCAAAAGCAGUGGGUUUUCUUUGUUGGAUGCUCCCUACCCCAAUCAUGUCCUGUAAGUUUCUGUGAAAUACUUCACACAUACUGAGUGCCCUUUUAAAUUAAUAAUCCCCUUAAGAUGAUAAACAGAAAAUUCCUCUUUCUAUUCAUCAGAGACUUGCUCAUCUUUCCAGUGGAGACUACAGUAUGAAUACAAGUUACCCUACAGAUUUUUGUAACAAGUGUCAACUUAAACCAGUUUUACUACUAGCUUCAGUAUUUGUUUUUAGUAAGCAAAGUAUUUAUUGAAACAUUACCUUGUGUAUAAUGACCUAAUGCACAGAUUUCUCCCUUCCCAAAUUUCCAUUCUUUCUACUGAAGUCUAAACUGCAGUAAUUAUUUUAGCUGUAAGACAGCCAUGUGUAUGAUCUAUAAAUAUUUCUAUUACAAACCAUUUGCUGCUUCUAUUAAAAUAUACUUAGUGUUUAAUAAAAGCUUCUAUUUCUCUGCAGCUUUUUUGGCACAAGACUUAAAGGGCAUAAAACUUGCCUGUUUGUGAAACUACGUACACUUACCCACUCUGAGAACAUUUAGAUAGUUGGUUUCUACUGAGCUUUGUUAUCCCACAUAUGUUCUUCUGCUGGAGCCUUUUAUGUCAGAAAACCUUUGAAGAGUGGGAGUAGCUCUUUAAAUUUAUCUGGAAGCAGUGGGGUUUCUUUUACAAUUGGCUGUUGCUGCUCACGUCGUUUUAUUUCAAGGUAGUAAAUGCUAUGAAUGUCAGAUUUUCAUGAAAAGGUAAGACAUACUAUCCAUAAAUUUCCGACACAGUAUCAACUUCUGCUCAUUCAACAUUUUCCUUCCUUUAGCAUCUCUUCCAAAGUUGGAAAAUGCAAUUUAUGCAUCAGUGUCGUUUCUAACAUAUUUGAUGCUGAGUGUCAGAAUCCUACUUAUCUUGUAGCAAGUUGUAAAACGUUAGCUCUUUACACAAAGGCACAGAUGUUCUUACAGCUUCCCUGUGUACUGUACUUUUAGAGACGUACCAUAUACUCUACCAAAGACCAUAUUUUUUCUGUCGAGAUCAUCUCCUCCUUGUGAAUCAGAACGGGAAAGCAAAGAAGCUCUUGGAAGCUCAAGGAAGAACAUCUUGCCCUUAGUUUCUUGAAAAGGUAUUUGUUCGUUCCAAAGACAUGCACGUGAACUCCUCAGGUCUGUUGCAUUUUGUUUGUUUUCCCACUUAUUAUUUCUGAUCACUCCUCUCAAAAUGCUCUGAACUGAGCUCUCUGGGACGUAAGCAGUGAUGCUGGAGGAGUGCCCUCACAUAAGGACUGAAAAGGACAGUGAAAUCACUUGAAGCCACAGAGCAGCUAAAGUUCGAGAGAUUAUUUAGAGGUAUUGUUCUUGGGGAUAUUAAAUGCUCAAAAUAGAACAUAAAACAUUUUUUUCAUAUUUCUAGUCGGAACAACUGUUCCCUGAAAUAACGAUAUAUAUAUAUAUAUAUAUAUAUCAUGGUGAAGCACAGUAUAGCAGUUACAGCAUCAGCUCUCGGAACACCGUAAAGGCAGAGUACAGUUACAAGCAUUAGAGGCUGGCAUGUUAACCACCCCACGAGAAUGCAGCACAAGCUACAGCAAUCAAACAGAACACAAGGCACAUACUUUAGCUCUCAGCUGCUUCACCAAACCAGCACGGCUGCUUUCAGCCGCAAAGCCAAGUGGCUGUAUGGCAUGGCACAGCACGCAGCACUCCCAAGCCUCCCAUUAGGAUAAACACACUCCCACAGAGCACACAUGCAAAACACAGCACUCCCAAGCCUCUCUCCAACUUCUGUUUAAAUCUUCCCUGCUACUUUAUGAUUGCUUAUUAAAUGUUGCAUUUCAUAAGCAGGAUGAUCGCAGUAUCUGUCAUCCUGCCCUUGAUCUGUAUUAGUCCCACACUGUUCAUGAGGGGCUGCCAUGCAAUUGCUAAGGUAGGUUCCCCCCAGGGUUGCUAACUGUGCCAGGGCCAGGCCUUGCUUAACAGGUUCUGUAAGAGAGCAACAUGAAGAUGCAAGCAAGUGAAACUACUUUUUACAUUCCCUCUAAAUUAGCAUGUUAAUAUGUUGGAUGCUGUGCUUUGCAUUUUCCCUCCUGCAAGUCUUUGCAGAUUAUAGAAAGCAGUAGUUAAUCUUUCAAAAGAGCAAAAAAAUAUUCUUCCCAAUUCCUUAUGUGCUUGUUUCAUCCUACAGAGUUAAAUUGGAAUUUAACAACAUUAAUAUCCUUACAACAGAAAUCCAUAGCAUAGCAACUAAACAACAUUUAAUCCUUCAUUUGGUUCUUUAGGUUUCUUUUGCAAUUUCUACAGCUGUCCUUCCUGCAAUUUUUCCUGUGAGAUGCCAAGAAUAAUAUUCCCCAUACAAUCUGCUGUUUUAAUUGUUGAGAAUCUCACUGCCAUUUUGAAUUAAAUACAUAAACAUGCUAAAACAUAAGGUUCUUACCUUGCUGAUCUUAACAGCCUUCCCUUAGAAGGACAGCUGCUUCUCCUUCCCCUGCCUGGUGGACCCCUUACACCACCUCCCUUACCUCUCGGAUUUCUGAUGUUAGUUGAGCUGCUGGUAGCAGCAACAAUACUAGGAACACGGGAGAAUAAGAGAGUGAAGGGCAGUUACUGAGGGUGAUAUUAGAAUGAUACUGGCUGAGGAUUCAGUUGUUCUGCUGUGAAUAUUCUGUGGGUGCAGAGGUGCUGCAGACAAAAAAGCUGGACAACCUCCAGCCACAAGGGUUCACACAUUCAGAGGGAGACAUUGAAGAAAACUCACUCAGACUGUGUUACUCUUAUCCUCAUGGCUUGCUUUCUCCCAUUGCCCAUGACAGAAUAAACAGCUGCCCCACUGAGCUGAAGAAUGCACAGACGCAUUAUGGGGCUGGGGGUAUCAGCCUGUGAUACAGAGGGGAAACAAGAGGAAGACAGAACAUGGUGCUGGCAUCUAAACAUCCUGUACCUUACCUUGUGACUCACUGAAAGUUGCCUUGAUCUCUGUUGUAGAAGCUGCUUUCAAGGAUGAAACCCUCUGAUUUAGAAGGGAAAUUCAGAAGGAUUUUUAAUAGUGAAGAAAACAGGAAGGGAUGACACGGGAGGUAAUUGAUAUCACACGUUGAUGAAGGAACAUCUGAAACUGUAGAAAGGCUAACAGAAGUAUUUGGCUAAAUCUAAGAUAGUCCAAAAGAUGACUACACUGUAAAGUCAGUCCAUCGUACUACUAAUGUAACGAAUCCUGUGUCACAGAGCUGUUUUUCCCAUUCUAAUAUGCAUUAAAUACAAAAUCCAUUGAUCAGUA